UAACGGCGAGUGAAGCGGCAAAAGCUCAAAUUUGAAACCGUUCGCGGGUUGUAAUUUGUAGUGUGUCUUGUGGCUCUGGCAUAAGUACCUUGGAACAGGUCACUAUAGAGGGUGAGAGUCCCGUUGCCUCUGCCGUUAUACUUGACACUCCACGAGUCGAGUUGUUUGGGAAUGCAGCUCAAAGUGGGUGGUAAAAUCCAUCUAAAGCUAAAUAUUGGCGAGAGACCGAUAGCGAACAAGUACAGUGAUGGAAAGAUGAAAAGAACUUUGAAAAGAGAGUGAAAUAGUACGUGAAAUUGUUGAAAGGGAAGGGCAUACUGGGAGAAGUGCAGUUGCUGUUCAGCGUUCUCUUGGGAGCGUGUACUCAGUUUCUGUGUGGGCCGGCGGCGGUUGGUGCGUGGAUAAAAGGUUGCAACUUGUUGCUGCUCAAUACACGCGCCGGCCGUUCCUCGUCCGUAAUCCCAGUCUGCCACCCGUCUUGAACCACCGGAC
This 492-nucleotide ribosomal RNA is filed under the name [Candida] sp. Its description in RNAcentral is "Candida sp. (in: Saccharomycetales) partial large subunit ribosomal RNA". It matches the Rfam family "Eukaryotic large subunit ribosomal RNA", at positions 84 to 666 of the family's 3401-position model. The record is from RNAcentral. Lineage: Eukaryota; Fungi; Ascomycota; Saccharomycetes; Saccharomycetales.